RNAcentral lists this ribosomal RNA (253 nucleotides) under uncultured bacterium. RNAcentral describes it as "partial 16S ribosomal RNA". It matches the Rfam family "Bacterial small subunit ribosomal RNA", at positions 524 to 776 of the family's 1533-position model. The record is from RNAcentral.
UACGGAGGGUGCGAGCGUUGUCCGGAAUCAUUGGGCGUAAAGGGCGCGUAGGUGGCCCGGUCAGUCCGUGGUGAAAGCGCGGGGCUCAACCCCGCGUCGGCCAUGGAUACUGCUGGGCUUGAGCACUGUAGAGGCAGGCGGAAUUCCGGGUGUAGCGGUGGAAUGCGUAGAGAUCCGGAAGAACACCGGUGGCGAAGGCGGCCUGCUGGGCAGUAGCUGACACUGAGGCGCGACAGCGUGGGGAGCAAACAGG